CUACCAUGCAAGUCGAACGAAACUUUUUGCUUCGGUAGAAAGUUUAGUGGCGGACGGGUGAGUAACGCGUGAGGAACCUGCCUUUCAGAGGGGGAUAAUGUCUGGAAACGGACACUAAUACCGCAUGACAUUUUCUGUUCACAUGGACAGAAAAUCAAAGGAGCAAUCUGCUGAAAGAUGGACUCGCGUCCGAUUAGCUAGAUGGUGAGAUAAUAGCCCACCAUGGCGACGAUCGGUAGCCGGACUGAGAGGUUGAACGGCCACAUUGGGACUGAGACACGGCCCAGACUCCUACGGGAGGCAGCAGUGGGGGAUAUUGCACAAUGGAGGAAACUCUGAUGCAGCAACGCCGCGUGAAGGAAGACGGUCUUCGGAUUGUAAACUUUUGUACCUAGGGACGAUAAUGACGGUACCUAGGCAGCAAGCUCCGGCUAACUACGUGCCAGCAGCCGCGGUAAUACGUAGGGAGCGAGCGUUGUCCGGAUUUACUGGGUGUAAAGGGUGCGUAGGCGGCCAAGCAAGUCAGCUGUGAAAACUAUGGGCUUAACCCAUAGCCUGCAAUUGAAACUGUUUGGCUUGAGUGAAGUAGAGGUAGGUGGAAUUCCCGGUGUAGCGGUGAAAUGCGUAGAGAUUGGGAGGAACACCAGUGGCGAAGGCGACCUACUGGGCUUUAACUGACGCUGAAGCACGAAAGCAUGGGUAGCAAACAGGAUUAGAUACCCUGGUAGUCCAUGCUGUA
RNAcentral lists this ribosomal RNA (739 nucleotides) under uncultured bacterium. RNAcentral describes it as "bacterial SSU rRNA". It matches the Rfam family "Bacterial small subunit ribosomal RNA", at positions 49 to 804 of the family's 1533-position model. The record is from RNAcentral.